Molecule: microRNA, 22 nt
Filed under: Hyalella azteca
Lineage: Eukaryota; Metazoa; Arthropoda; Malacostraca; Amphipoda; Hyalellidae
Description: miR-927
Source: RNAcentral
AGCGUUUGGGUUCUGAAAAAUG